CCGGUGUAGUUGUGUUCGGAUC
This 22-nucleotide non-coding RNA is filed under the name Arabidopsis thaliana (thale cress). Lineage: Eukaryota; Viridiplantae; Streptophyta; Magnoliopsida; Brassicales; Brassicaceae. The record is from RNAcentral.